Molecule: ribosomal RNA, 507 nt
Filed under: Pseudomonas sp. EBKC33
Lineage: Bacteria; Pseudomonadati; Pseudomonadota; Gammaproteobacteria; Pseudomonadales; Pseudomonadaceae
Description: bacterial SSU rRNA
Rfam family: Bacterial small subunit ribosomal RNA
Source: RNAcentral
AGCCUGAUCCAGCCAUGCCGCGUGUGUUGAAGAAGGUCUUCGGAUUGUAAAGCACUUUAAGUUGGGAGGAAGGGUUGUAGUUUAAUACGCUGCAAUCUUGACGUUACCAACAGAAUAAGCACCGGCUAACUCUGUGCCAGCAGCCGCGGUAAUACAGAGGGUGCAAGCGUUAAUCGGAAUUACUGGGCGUAAAGCGCGCGUAGGCGGCUUGAUAAGAUGGGUGUGAAAUCCCCGGGCUUAACCUGGGAACUGCAUCCAUAACUGUCUGGCUAGAGUACAGUAGAGGGUGGUGGAAUUUCCUGUGUAGCGGUGAAAUGCGUAGAUAUAGGAAGGAACACCAGUGGCGAAGGCGACCACCUGGACUGAUACUGACGCUGAGGUGCAGAAAGCGUGGGGAGCAAACAGGAUUAGAUACCCUGGUAGUCCACGCCGUAAACGAUGUCUACUAGCCGUUGGAAUCCUUGAGAUUUUAGUGGCGCAGCUAACGCACUAAGUAGACCGCCUGGG